This is a long non-coding RNA of Lagopus leucura (white-tailed ptarmigan), 253 nucleotides long. RefSeq lists it as uncharacterized. Lineage: Eukaryota; Metazoa; Chordata; Aves; Galliformes; Phasianidae. The transcript has 3 exons. The record is from RefSeq and is a predicted model, not a curated record.
UCCACAUCUGGGUGCGGUACUCCAGGGCUGAACUUCGGGAGCACAUUAUGUGCAGAUUUGUGGCUUGGACACAUGCUGUGUAAGAACAGUAUGGCCAUAUCCAACUGCCUCCAGGCUCGAGAGAAGAUUUAAAUUUUUGGCCAUUGUGGCCUGGGAAGAAUGCCCGAGGUCUGAACUGAAGCAGUGGAUUUAGCUUUGCAACAAGAAUCCUUUUCCAGGAAUAAUGCUGAUUAAGAGGUCUGAGAUUUCCCCG